CCUACGGGUGGCAGCAGUGAGGAAUAUUGGUCAAUGGGCGAGAUCCUGAACCAGCCAAGCCGCGUGAAGGAUGACGGCCCUAUGGGUUGUAAACCUCUUUUGUCGGAGAACAAAACCCGUGACGAGUACCGGACUGCGUGUAUCCGAUGAAAAAGCACCGGCUAACUCCGUGCCAGCAGCCGCGGUAAUACGGAGGAUGCGAGCGUUAUCCGGAUUUAUUGGGUUUAAGGGGUGCGUAGGCGGUCUGUUAAGUCGGCGGUAAAAUUGCGGGGCCCAACCCGGUCGAGCCGUUGAAACUGGUUUUCUUGAGUGAGCGAGAAGUAUGCGGAAUGCGUGGUGUAGCGGUGAAAUGCAUAGAUAUGACGCAGAACUCCGAUUGCGAAGGCAGCAUGCCGGCGCUGAACUGACGCUCAUGCACGAAAGUGUGGGUAUCGAACAGGAUUAGAUACCCGAGUAGUC
Molecule: ribosomal RNA, 459 nt
Filed under: uncultured bacterium
Lineage: Bacteria
Description: partial 16S ribosomal RNA
Rfam family: Bacterial small subunit ribosomal RNA
Source: RNAcentral